AUCCUGUCUGAAUAUGGGGGGACCAUCCUCCAAGGCUAAAUACUCCUGACUGACCGAUAGUGAACCAGUACCGUGAGGGAAAGGCGAAAAGAACCCCGGCGAGGGGAGUGAAAAAGAACCUGAAACCGUGUACGUACAAGCAGUGGGAGCACGCUUAGGCGUGUGACUGCGUACCUUUUGUAUAAUGGGUCAGCGACUUAUAUUCUGUAGCAAGGUUAACCGAAUAGGGGAGCCGAAGGGAAACCGAGUCUUAACUGGGCGUUAAGUUGCAGGGUAUAGACCCGAAACCCGGUGAUCUAGCCAUGGGCAGGUUGAAGGUUGGGUAACACUAACUGGAGGACCGAACCGACUAAUGUUGAAAAAUUAGCGGAUGACUUGUGGCUGGGGGUGAAAGGCCAAUCAAACCGGGAGAUAGCUGGUUCUCCCCGAAAGCUAUUUAGGUAGCGCCUCGUGAAUUCAUCUCCGGGGGUAGAGCACUGUUUCGGCAAGGGGGUCAUCCCGACUUACCAACCCGAUGCAAACUGCGAAUACCGGAGAAUGUUAUCACGGGAGACACACGGCGGGUGCUAACGUCCGUCGUGAAGAGGGAAACAACCCAGACCGCCAGCUAAGGUCCCAAAGUCAUGGUUAAGUGGGAAACGAUGUGGGAAGGCCCAGACAGCCAGGAUGUUGGCUUAGAAGCAGCCAUCAUUUAAAGAAAGCGUAAUAGCUCACUGGUCGAGUCGGCCUGCGCGGAAGAUGUAACGGGGCUAAACCAUGCACCGAAGCUGCGGCAGCGACGCUUAUGCGUUGUUGGGUAGGGGAGCGUUCUGUAAGCCUGUGAAGGUGUGCUGUGAGGCAUGCUGGAGGUAUCAGAAGUGCGAAUGCUGACAUAAGUAACGAUAAAGCGGGUGAAAAGCCCGCUCGCCGGAAGACCAAGGGUUCCUGUCCAACGUUAAUCGGGGCAGGGUGAGUCGACCCCUAAGGCGAGGCCGAAAGGCGUAGUCGAUGGGAAACAGGUUAAUAUUCCUGUACUUGGUGUUACUGCGAAGGGGGGACGGAGAAGGCUAUGUUGGCCGGGCGACGGUUGUCCCGGUUUAAGCGUGUAGGCUGGUUUUCCAGGCAAAUCCGGAAAAUCAAGGCUGAGGCGUGAUGACGAGGCACUACGGUGCUGAAGCAACAAAUGCCCUGCUUCCAGGAAAAGCCUCUAAGCAUCAGGUAACAUCAAAUCGUACCCCAAACCGACACAGGUGGUCAGGUAGAGAAUACCAAGGCGCUUGAGAGAACUCGGGUGAAGGAACUAGGCAAAAUGGUGCCGUAACUUCGGGAGAAGGCACGCUGAUAUGUAGGUGAAGCGACUUGCUCGUGGAGCUGAAAUCAGUCGAAGAUACCAGCUGGCUGCAACUGUUUAUUAAAAACACAGCACUGUGCAAACACGAAAGUGGACGUAUACGGUGUGACGCCUGCCCGGUGCCGGAAGGUUAAUUGAUGGGGUCAGCGCAAGCGAAGCUCUUGAUCGAAGCCCCGGUAAACGGCGGCCGUAACUAUAACGGUCCUAAGGUAGCGAAAUUCCUUGUCGGGUAAGUUCCGACCUGCACGAAUGGCGUAAUGAUGGCCAGGCUGUCUCCACCCGAGACUCAGUGAAAUUGAACUCGCUGUGAAGAUGCAGUGUACCCGCGGCAAGACGGAAAGACCCCGUGAACCUUUACUAUAGCUUGACACUGAACAUUGAGCCUUGAUGUGUAGGAUAGGUGGGAGGCUUUGAAGUGUGGACGCCAGUCUGCAUGGAGCCGACCUUGAAAUACCACCCUUUAAUGUUUGAUGUUCUAACGUUGACCCGUAAUCCGGGUUGCGGACAGUGUCUGGUGGGUAGUUUGACUGGGGCGGUCUCCUCCUAAAGAGUAACGGAGGAGCACGAAGGUUGGCUAAUCCUGGUCGGACAUCAGGAGGUUAGUGCAAUGGCAUAAGCCAGCUUGACUGCGAGCGUGACGGCGCGAGCAGGUGCGAAAGCAGGUCAUAGUGAUCCGGUGGUUCUGAAUGGAAGGGCCAUCGCUCAACGGAUAAAAGGUACUCCGGGGAUAACAGGCUGAUACCGCCCAAGAGUUCAUAUCGACGGCGGUGUUUGGCACCUCGAUGUCGGCUCAUCACAUCCUGGGGCUGAAGUAGGUCCCAAGGGUAUGGCUGUUCGCCAUUUAAAGUGGUACGCGAGCUGGGUUUAGAACGUCGUGAGACAGUUCGGUCCCUAUCUGCCGUGGGCGCUGGAGAACUGAGGGGGGCUGCUCCUAGUACGAGAGGACCGGAGUGGACGCAUCACUGGUGUUCGGGUUGUCAUGCCAAUGGCACUGCCCGGUAGCUAAAUGCGGAAGAGAUAAGUGCUGAAAGCAUCUAAGCACGAAACUUGCCCCGAGAUGAGUUCUCCCUGACCCUUUAAGGGUCCUGAAGGAACGUUGAAGACGACGACGUUGAUAGGCCGGGUGUGUAAGCGCAGCGAUGCGUUGAGCUAACCGGUACUAAUGAACCGUGAGGCUUAACCUU
RNAcentral lists this ribosomal RNA (2514 nucleotides) under Escherichia coli. Its description in RNAcentral is "partial 23S ribosomal RNA". It matches the Rfam family "Bacterial large subunit ribosomal RNA", at positions 431 to 2925 of the family's 2925-position model. Lineage: Bacteria; Pseudomonadati; Pseudomonadota; Gammaproteobacteria; Enterobacterales; Enterobacteriaceae. The record is from RNAcentral.